GCUGAAGCAAAUACUUCUAUCUGCCCUUUGUUGCACAUUUUGCAUGCCUGCCUGUUCCUCUACUGCUGCUGCUCGGUCUGUUUCUCUCUAAUCUACGCCUCAAACACUUCCCCUACCCAAUUCCAGGAGCUAACACAAAUGUAAAAUGUAAAUUGUGGCCUAGAUUGCUGCUACCGGAGUGUGGAGAGAGAUGCCAGAUUCUGUAAUAGCCUAGAUGUGUCGGGGAUCAACUUCCAGGUCCUUGCAUAUUGACAAACUCUUCUUGUAUCCAUCACUUGGGUUUCCUAUCGAGUUGUCUUCUUGGGCCAAUUAUGUACAUUUCCCAUGUGUUUUUCUUGGCAUACAGAGAACUCUAUAUUUGAGACCGUGAAGCCAACUUACUUCACAUUGAAACUUCCUUCUCUUUCACUUCCCUAUGAUAAAGCCUGAAGGAUAAUUCUGCCAAUAUUUUCUUCCAGCAAUAAUCAACUAUCUUACUAUCUGUAGUAAGUAGCUACUACAAAAUGUUAUGGCACAAUUGACAAUGACAUUAUACUACACAAACUUUCACCUCUGUCCUCAAGACAUUUUUACCAAAGAAGGGUUUUGAUUAUUCUGAACUCUAAGACUACUUCAAGACAAAAAGGAGGGAAGAACAUGUGCCAAGACACAGAUGUGCAGACCCAGUGCUGCCGGGAGGAUGGGGACAAGGAAGACAUCAAUGUGGUGAAUGAUGACUCAGGUUAGGGAUGGCAGGAGAGGAACUGAAAAGAAAGAUUGUGUUCUAACGAUGCAGUAAAGAAUCUGGAUCUCACCCAGUAAGCAGCAGAAAAGGCUCAAAGGACAUUUUUUCUCCAGAGACAUUAUCCAUUGGUUUUUUUAGGGAAAACAAAAUAACACCUGGUCAUGCUAUAGAGCAUUAACUGGGGAAGAGAGAAUGAGUGAGAGAAACACUGUUGCAACUAUCAGAGCAAGAGAUGAUGGGACCUAGUUUAGGGCAGUGAGAGUGUGUGCGUGGAGUGGAGGGGGCUCAUUUUGGAAAUCUUUCUGAGGCAUAGGCAAUGGUACUUAGUGUUCCACUGAUACUAUGGGUAAAGGAUGAGGGGUCAAAGUGGAGAGUGACUUCCUUAACCAAAGGAGGACAAGAAAAAGAAGCGAUGUUGCCGAAUGACAUUUACAAAAGUGUAUUUUCUAGUUGCAAGGAGUCUGAGAUACCUACGGAUUCUCCAAACAGGAUACCUAUAGACAGCUGAAAAUACAAGACUGGUUUUACACAGCAAUGUCAGAGCUGAAGAGACAGGUGAUAAUCACAGGCAUGAAUGUAUUGAAGUUACUGAGGGACUACAAAGUGAACAUAACUGGGAACAGCACCAUCAAAACGAUCAGCAUUUAAAGAGCAGGGAGUGGGAAGAGCCAAUGAUUGAAGCUGAGACUAAACUAACUGAAGAGAAAAUCAAGGCACAAUUCUUGCUAUAAUAUCCGAAGAGGGAACUUGCGGCAGACGGACUGGAGGGUGGGAUUUGCAUUCCUGUUUGGAGUCAGGAUUUCCAUGGUCUACACCUCAUGUGUUGCAUGUAGACGUUCAAGGUAUUUUUAUUGUGAUAUGUCAGCACACAGAAUUGGAAGGCAUGUCACAAGGUCAGGAGUUCGAGUUCUGUUGAUAGUCUCAGACCUCUUCCAACUUCAACAAGGUCAACAAGAUAAACCACAAACCUGGAUGAGUUCAUGUUAUUCCAGAUGCAUUAUCUCCUAAUCUUCAGGAAGAGGCUCCUUCAGCGGGAAGGAGCAUGGCAGGAUCUUCCCUGAAAAAACAGAAAUAGCCGUGUCUAAUCCCUGCUCUGCCUGGAAAGGAAAAGGCUCACCUACUUCCCAUGUCAAGGGUUAGAAGCAAACUGAAGAAGAAGAAUAAAAACUAUGUAAAGGCCUUUCCC
Molecule: long non-coding RNA, 1910 nt
Filed under: Homo sapiens (human)
Lineage: Eukaryota; Metazoa; Chordata; Mammalia; Primates; Hominidae
Description: HSALNT0225289
Source: RNAcentral